This 254-nucleotide ribosomal RNA is filed under the name uncultured bacterium. RNAcentral's name for it is "partial 16S ribosomal RNA". It matches the Rfam family "Bacterial small subunit ribosomal RNA", at positions 524 to 776 of the family's 1533-position model. The record is from RNAcentral.
UACGUAGGGGGCGAGCGUUGUCCGGAAUUAUUGGGCGUAAAGAGCUCGUAGGCGGCUUAGUAAGUCGGCGGUGAAAUACCGAGGCUCAACCUCGGCACUGCCGUCGAUACUGCUAUGGCUAGAGUUUGGUAGAGGAGAACGGAAUUCCCGGUGUAGCGGUGGAAUGCGCAGAUAUCGGGAGGAACACCCGUAGCGAAGGCGGCCUGCUGGGCCGAUCCUGACGCUGAGACGCGAAGGCGUGGGGAGCGAACGGG